AAAUUCUGGGUUUAAAACUCUUUUCUUUAAGAAUGUUGAGGCAGAGGCACCCAUUUCAUUCCCAGUUUGCUCUGUAGCUGGCAAUUGGAAGAUACUCUGUGACAGUG
RNAcentral lists this small nucleolar RNA (107 nucleotides) under Aotus nancymaae (Ma's night monkey). The record is from RNAcentral. Lineage: Eukaryota; Metazoa; Chordata; Mammalia; Primates; Aotidae.